This 130-nucleotide ribosomal RNA is filed under the name uncultured Bacteroidota bacterium. RNAcentral describes it as "uncultured Bacteroidetes bacterium partial 16S ribosomal RNA". It matches the Rfam family "Bacterial small subunit ribosomal RNA", at positions 335 to 479 of the family's 1533-position model. Lineage: Bacteria; Pseudomonadati; Bacteroidota. The record is from RNAcentral.
ACUCCUACGGGAGGCAGCAGUGGGGGAUAUUGCGCAAUGGGGGAAACCCUGACGCAGCAACGCCGCGUGAAGGAUGAAGGUCUUCGGAUUGUAAACUUCUUUUAUUAAGGACGAAGAAAGUGACGGUACU